This 460-nucleotide ribosomal RNA is filed under the name uncultured bacterium. RNAcentral's name for it is "partial 16S ribosomal RNA". It matches the Rfam family "Bacterial small subunit ribosomal RNA", at positions 338 to 795 of the family's 1533-position model. The record is from RNAcentral.
CCUACGGGUGGCAGCAGUGAGGAAUAUUGGUCAAUGGGCGCAAGCCUGAACCAGCCAAGUCGCGUGAGGGAUGACGGUCCUAUGGAUGGUAAACCUCUUUUGUCGGGGAGCAAGGCCCGCCACGUGUGGCGGGAAGGAGAGUACCCGAAGAAAAAGCAUCGGCUAACUCCGUGCCAGCAGCCGCGGUAAUACGGAGGAUGCGAGCGUUAUCGGAAUUGAUUGGGUUAAAGGGGAGCGUAGGCGGAAGGUUAAGUCAGCGGUCAAAUGUCGGUGCUCACAACCGGCCUGCCGUUGAAACUGGUCUUCUUGAGUGAGCGAGAAGUAGGCGGAAUGCGAGGUGUAGCGGUGAAAUGCAUAGAUAUCACGCAGAACUCCGAUUGCGAAGGCAGCAUACCGGCGCUCAACUGACGCUGAGGUACGAAAGCGUGGGGAUCGAACAGGAUUAGAUACCCUGGUAGUC